GGGAGCCCGCAAGGGUGACUGCGUACCUUUUGUAUAAUGGGUCAGCGACUUAUAUUUUGUAGCGAGGUUAACCGAAUAGGGGAGCCGAAGGGAAACCGAGUCUUAACUGGGCGUUGAGUUGCAAGGUAUAGACCCGAAACCCGGUGAUCUAGCCAUGGGCAGGUUGAAGGUUGGGUAACACUAACUGGAGGACCGAACCGACUAAUGUUGAAAAAUUAGCGGAUGACUUGUGGCUGGGGGUGAAAGGCCAAUCAAACCG
Molecule: ribosomal RNA, 259 nt
Filed under: Streptococcus pneumoniae
Lineage: Bacteria; Bacillati; Bacillota; Bacilli; Lactobacillales; Streptococcaceae
Description: partial 23S ribosomal RNA
Rfam family: Bacterial large subunit ribosomal RNA
Source: RNAcentral